This 401-nucleotide ribosomal RNA is filed under the name uncultured prokaryote. Its description in RNAcentral is "bacterial SSU rRNA". It matches the Rfam family "Bacterial small subunit ribosomal RNA", at positions 355 to 774 of the family's 1533-position model. The record is from RNAcentral.
UGGGGAAUAUUGCACAAUGGGCGAAAGCCUGAUGCAGCAACGCCGCGUGAGCGAUGAAGGCCUUCGGGUCGUAAAGCUCUGUCCUCAAGGAAGAUAAUGACGGUACUUGAGGAGGAAGCCCCGGCUAACUACGUGCCAGCAGCCGCGGUAAUACGUAGGGGGCUAGCGUUAUCCGGAAUUACUGGGCGUAAAGGGUGCGUAGGUGGUUUCUUAAGUCAGAGGUGAAAGGCUACGGCUCAACCGUAGUAAGCCUUUGAAACUGGGAAACUUGAGUGCAGGAGAGGAGAGUGGAAUUCCUAGUGUAGCGGUAAAAUGCGUAGAUAUUAGGAGGAACACCAGUGGCGAAGGCGGCUAUCUGGACAGUAACUGACGCUGAGGCGCGAAAGCGUGGGGAGCAAACA